UACGAAGGGGACUAGCGUUGUUCGGAAUCACUGGGCGUAAAGCGCACGUAGGCGGAUUCGUAAGUUAGGGGUGAAAUCCCGAGGCUCAACCUCGGAACUGCCUUCGAUACUGCGGGUCUCGAGUCCGGGAGAGGUGAGUGGAAUUCCUAGUGUAGAGGUGAAAUUCGUAGAUAUUAGGAAGAACACCAGUGGCGAAGGCGGCUCACUGGCCCGGUACUGACGCUGAGGCGCGAAAGCGUGGGGAGCAAACAGG
RNAcentral lists this ribosomal RNA (253 nucleotides) under uncultured bacterium. RNAcentral describes it as "partial 16S ribosomal RNA". It matches the Rfam family "Bacterial small subunit ribosomal RNA", at positions 524 to 776 of the family's 1533-position model. The record is from RNAcentral.